UAGGGAAUCUUCCGCAAUGGACGAAAGUCUGACGGAGCAACGCCGCGUGAGUGAAGAAGGAUUUCGGUUCGUAAAACUCUGUUGUUAGGGAAGAAAAAAUGUAUAGUAACUAUAUACAAAAGAGACGGUACCUAACCAGAAAGCCACGGCUAACUACGUGCCAGCAGCCGCGGUAAUACGUAGGUGGCAAGCGUUGUCCGGAAUUAUUGGGUGUAAAGCGCGCGCAGGUGGUUUAGAAAGUCUGAUGUGAAAGCCCACGGCUCAACCGUGGAGGGUCAUUGGAAACUAAUAAACUUGAGUGCAGGAGAGAAAAGUGGAAUUCCUAGUGUAGCGGUGAAAUGCGUAGAGAUUAGGAGGAACACCGGUGGCGAAAGCGGCUUUUUGGCCUGCAACUGACACUGAGGCGCGAAAGCGUGGGGAGCAAACAGG
RNAcentral lists this ribosomal RNA (429 nucleotides) under Verrucomicrobiota bacterium. RNAcentral describes it as "Verrucomicrobia bacterium partial 16S ribosomal RNA". It matches the Rfam family "Bacterial small subunit ribosomal RNA", at positions 355 to 776 of the family's 1533-position model. The record is from RNAcentral. Lineage: Bacteria; Pseudomonadati; Verrucomicrobiota.